Long non-coding RNA from Cavia porcellus (domestic guinea pig), 2040 nucleotides. RefSeq lists it as uncharacterized. The record is from RefSeq and is a predicted model, not a curated record. NCBI's taxonomy places the organism in Eukaryota, Metazoa, Chordata, Mammalia, Rodentia, Caviidae. The transcript is spliced from 8 exons.
UUUGGGGGCGCGGCCCGUGCGUAUGGGCGUGGCCUCGCCGCGCUCCUGCGUGAUAAAGAUGAGGAACACGAAUGGCAAGCGCAAGUUACAAGCAGUGGGGUAGCCGCCGAGGGAGUACCAUGGUCACUAUGGACUUGCACCGCGGUAGAAAACAAGUGUGGAUUCUGGCGUGGGCAGGAAAAAGGGCGAAUAUGGUCCCGGGCGCCGGAAGUAUGGAUAAGGCAGGACUUCCGGCUUCCGGGAGAACGGAGGCCGAACGGGGUCAUGGUCUGAAGAGCGAAAUGGGUUUUCCCGUGUGAGGGGUGUGGCAAAGUAGAGGGGGUGUAUCCAAGAUGGCCGCAUGCUAGAACCUUGCUUCGUGAGAGCGAAUAACAGGGAUGCAGCUCGGUUAAAAGAAGUCCUGCUGGAAAAUGGAGAACAGCCAGAAAUCAUGUAAGAAGCCCUGCACAUCUCAAAGCAGUUCCUUCACAGCCUGUACAGGAAUCCAUGGUGAACCAACCUUCACCCCUUUCACCCUCUCUUCUGGGACCUGGGCUAGGCAAAAGGCCGUCAUUGCAUAAAGUUGGAAUGCAAUAAGGAUUGAGUAAAUCUUGCUGUUGCUUCAGAAACUUCAGGUGUGUGAUUCCCAAUCUCUUCUGUGUUUACAUCUCCUAGACCAGUACUGCUUGAGUUGGAGGCCGGAGACUGCGUUUUGCUUCUUCCAGGCAAGGUCUCCGUGGACUUACCCACAGGCCGAGACAAGUGGCGCCCCAACAUGGGACCCAAGAACAGGGGACUUAAUGAGGGACGCUGUUAGUGGGCCCAAAGUAGAAAAAGGAAAAGAAAAUAGAGGACCAACGUGGGAGCCUGCCAUGCCACUGAACCUCAGUUACCAUCAGAAGAAUGAAACUACAGCCAUUCACCCUUCCUAUGAGACAGCAAUGGCCAUGGGGGCUGGGAAGAGAAACGUGAAGCCAGUUCACCUUUUCCAUGAACCAGCAGUGGCCUCACAGGGCCAGGAAAAAAAAAACAAGAAGGCAAUUUACCCUUCAUGUGAGCCAACCAGCAGAUAGGCUGGGAGACAAGAAGAUCCUCCCUACCGCCCCAAGCAACUGACUGAUUCGGAGGAUCACAGGCUGAGUUGAUAACGAGGAGGCUCCUGAGAGGAGAGAUUACACACUGCAAGAUGGACUUCAAGCCCUGUUAGUCUUUGCAUCACCGCACCCAACACAGAUGCUGAAGCCAAGGAAAAGACAAGAAAUACUGCAAUGAAGAUGAUUCCUGACAGGUUCCCACCUCUGAGCCUGACUUAGGCUCAUAAUCAGAUAGGUUCCUCUUUGAGAUCAGGUAAUACUCUUGUGGGCCCUUCUAUUUUAUAAGGAGAGAUAUAAGACCCUAACCCUAAAGCAUAAGGUCCCACCUCAAGGUGUGAAGGUAAUAAUCUAAAUGUUGUCCUACUCAGGUUUUCACAUGAUUUUCAGCAUCUUGCUGAAAGCUCCUCUGCCUUUCUCUCUCUAGCUGUUUAGGCUCCUGCAAGUAACUUUGCAACUGAUGAAGAUUGCAAGCCCAAGAUGAUAAUGAUAAAGAGCCUGAGGAUUGCUCUUUAACUCCUUGCAGAUCUCUGUUCAAAUGGUUCCUGGUUCCCAGGUCCGUCAAUCAAGUCCCCACCAUCUCUAGACCUGCAGCUAAGGACCCUAAACAAAUCCUGUAACUUGGUGAAAGAGUUGCUGGCCCAGACCGAACACUUUAACCAGGAGAAGCCUCAGCCAAAUUAAGGAGCUCCUGCCUCCCCCGCCCCUUAGAGAUUUACCUGUAACCCUAUACCCCUGCGCUUAGUAACCUACGUCUGGCGCCAAACGUGUGCCAAUGGGCUACCUGUGAAUACCUAAUACCCCUUAGGGUCCACCCCAAACAGAGGCUACUUAUGGGCCUCACUCCACGUGUUAGAGUGAGAGAGUGUGUUCCAGAGAGAGACCGCUGGCCCCGGGGUGGAGAUGCUGCGCCCCGGGGGCCGGGGGGGUCUCUCCCCGCAUUCCCGAAAUAAAGGUUACUUAUAUUUUA